AUGGCUCAGAGUGAACGCUGGCGGCAGGCCUAAUACAUGCAAGUCGAACGGCAGCACAGCAGAGCUUGCUCUGUGGGUGGCGAGUGGCGGACGGGUGAGGAAUACGUGGGAAUCUGCCCAGUCGUGGGGGAUAACGUAGGGAAACUUACGCUAAUACCGCAUGCGCCCUUCGGGGAAAGCCGGGACCUUCGGGCCUGGCGCGAUUGGAUGAGCCCACGUCGGAUUAGCUAGUUGGCGGGUAAAGGCCCACCAAGGCGACGAUCCGUAGCUGGUCUGAGAGGAUGAUCAGCCACACUGGAACUGAGACACGGUCCAGACUCCUACGGGAGGCAGCAGUAGGGAAUAUUGGACAAUGGGCGCAAGCCUGAUCCAGCCAUGCCGCGUGAGUGAAGAAGGCCCUCGGGUUGUAAAGCUCUUUUGUCCGGAAAGAAAAGCGCCGGGUUAAUACCCUGGUGUCCUGACGGUACCGGAAGAAUAAGCACCGGCUAACUUCGUG
RNAcentral lists this ribosomal RNA (496 nucleotides) under uncultured bacterium. RNAcentral's name for it is "bacterial SSU rRNA". It matches the Rfam family "Bacterial small subunit ribosomal RNA", at positions 19 to 507 of the family's 1533-position model. The record is from RNAcentral.